Molecule: transfer RNA, 66 nt
Filed under: Paraeggerthella hongkongensis
Lineage: Bacteria; Bacillati; Actinomycetota; Coriobacteriia; Eggerthellales; Eggerthellaceae
Also listed under: 3 other names
Rfam family: tRNA
About the family: Transfer RNA (tRNA) molecules are approximately 80 nucleotides in length. Their secondary structure includes four short double-helical elements and three loops (D, anti-codon, and T loops).
Source: RNAcentral
AGUGUGGCGCAAUGGUAGCGCAACAGUUUUGUAAACUGUGGGUUGCAGGUUCGAGUCCUGUCACUG